UACGUAGGUCCCGAGCGUUGUCCGGAUUUAUUGGGCGUAAAGCGAGCGCAGGCGGUUUGAUAAGUCUGAAGUUAAAGGCUGUGGCUCAACCAUAGUUCGCUUUGGAAACUGUCAAACUUGAGUGCAGAAGGGGAGAGUGGAAUUCCAUGUGUAGCGGUGAAAUGCGUAGAUAUAUGGAGGAACACCGGUGGCGAAAGCGGCUCUCUGGUCUGUAACUGACGCUGAGGCUCGAAAGCGUGGGGAGCGAA
This 248-nucleotide ribosomal RNA is filed under the name uncultured Streptococcaceae bacterium. Its description in RNAcentral is "partial 16S ribosomal RNA". It matches the Rfam family "Bacterial small subunit ribosomal RNA", at positions 524 to 772 of the family's 1533-position model. The record is from RNAcentral. Lineage: Bacteria; Bacillati; Bacillota; Bacilli; Lactobacillales; Streptococcaceae. RNAcentral also lists the same sequence under 1 other name.